RNAcentral lists this ribosomal RNA (460 nucleotides) under uncultured bacterium. Its description in RNAcentral is "partial 16S ribosomal RNA". It matches the Rfam family "Bacterial small subunit ribosomal RNA", at positions 338 to 795 of the family's 1533-position model. The record is from RNAcentral.
CCUACGGGUGGCAGCAGUGAGGAAUAUUGGUCAAUGGGAGAGAUCCUGAACCAGCCAAGCCGCGUGAGGGAAGACGGCCCUAUGGGUUGUAAACCUCUUUUGUCGGAGAACAAAACCCGGGACGUGUCCCGGACUGCGUGUAUCCGAAGAAAAAGCAUCGGCUAACUCCGUGCCAGCAGCCGCGGUAAUACGGAGGAUGCGAGCGUUAUCCGGUUUUAUUGGGUUUAAAGGGAGCGUAGGCCGACUUUUAAGUCAGCUGUGAAAGUCCGCGGCUCAACCGUGGAAUUGCAGUUGAAACUGGAGGCCUUGAGUGCACACAGGGAUGCCGGAAUUCAUGGUGUAGCGGUGAAAUGCUUAGAUAUCAUGAAGAACUCCGAUCGCGAAGGCAAGUGUCCGGGGUGCAACUGACGCUGAGGCUCGAAAGUGCGGGUAUCAAACAGGAUUAGAUACCCUUGUAGUC